UUGAACUCCCUUUCUUCCUUGCAGCUCCAUUUCUUCUCUCUUCUGCUAUUGUUUUGUCCUUGUUGCUGCUUUCCCCACUAUGUUGCUUACCUCUUCCUUUCUCCUUGCUGCUGCGGACAAUACUCCCGCAAUUAUUGCUUGUCAUUCAUAUGUAUUUCCAAAGACUCGACAAAUCAAAGAAUAUCCCAGUAUCAAUUCUACUAAGCUUAAGCAAACUUAGCAAAAAUUGAAGAAAAAAGGUUGACCUUUGUUCGUAAAGGGUGUUGCUGAAGCUGUAGCAAGUACUGUUGCAGACCCUUUUUCGCUAU
This 308-nucleotide long non-coding RNA is filed under the name Nicotiana benthamiana. Its description in RNAcentral is "long non-coding RNA (NBEN_LNC014089)". The record is from RNAcentral. Lineage: Eukaryota; Viridiplantae; Streptophyta; Magnoliopsida; Solanales; Solanaceae.